Molecule: ribosomal RNA, 420 nt
Filed under: uncultured bacterium
Lineage: Bacteria
Description: partial 16S ribosomal RNA
Rfam family: Bacterial small subunit ribosomal RNA
Source: RNAcentral
UAUUGGACAAUGGGCGAAAGCCUGAUCCAGCCAUGCCGCGUGUGUGAAGAAGGUCUUCGGAUUGUAAAGCAAUUUAAGUUGGGAGGAAGGGCAGCAAGCUACUACCUUGCUGUUUUGACGUUACCGACAGAAUAAGAAUCGGCUAACUUCGAUCCAUGAGCCGCGGUAAUACGCAGGGUGCAAGCGUUAAGCGGAAUUACUGGGCGUAACGCUCGCGUAGGUGGUUUGUUAAGUUGGAAGUGAAAGCCCCGGGCUCAACCUGGGAACUGCCUUCAAAACUGGCAAGCUAGAGUAUGGCAGAGGGUGGUGGAAUUUCCUGUGUAGCGGUGAAAUGCGUAGAUAUAGGAAGGAACACCAGUGGCGAAGGCGACCACCUGGGCUAAUACUGACACUGAGGUGCGAAAGCGUGGGGAGCAAACA